RNAcentral lists this unclassified non-coding RNA (519 nucleotides) under Hevea brasiliensis (rubber tree). Lineage: Eukaryota; Viridiplantae; Streptophyta; Magnoliopsida; Malpighiales; Euphorbiaceae. The record is from RNAcentral.
UGAUUUUGGUGACAACAAUCUUGUCGGAUGGGUAAAGCUGCACGCUAAGGGAAAAAUAACAGAUGUCUUUGACCGGGAGCUAUUGAAAGAGGAUGCAAGCAUUGAGAUUGAACUUCUACAACACUUAAAGGUAGCUUGUGCUUGCUUAGAUGAUCGACAUUGGAAACGUCCCACAAUGAUACAAGUUAUGGCUAUGUUUAAGGAGAUUCAAGCAGGGUCAGGCAUGGAUUCGACAUCGACAAUCGGAGCUGAUGAUGUUAAUUUUAGUGGAGUUGAAGGAGGGAUAGAAAUGGGGAUAAAUGGAAGUAUAAAAGAAGGCAAUGAGCUGAGCAAACACCUUUGAAUGCACUAAAUGAAGAGUUUAUUGAAAGCUCACAAAUUUUCCAAAAUCAUCAUAUGCAAAGUGUAAUUUUUAGCCCCCAAUUAUUGUAUGUACCACUAGUUCCCAUCCAUAAAAUCUUGUGUUAUUAUACAUAAAAGGAAGGUUGUUUUUCUUUUUUAAAACAUGUAACAGUGUUG